Molecule: ribosomal RNA, 305 nt
Filed under: uncultured bacterium
Lineage: Bacteria
Description: bacterial SSU rRNA
Rfam family: Bacterial small subunit ribosomal RNA
Source: RNAcentral
GUAUACCUACGGGAGGCAGCAGUGGGGGAUAUUGCACAAUGGGGGAAACCCUGAUGCAGCGACGCCGCGUGUGGGAAGACGGUCUUUUGGAUUGUAAACCACUGUCCCCAGGGACGAAAAUGACGGUACCUGGGGAGGAAGCUCCGGCUAACUACGUGCCAGCAGCCGCGGUAAUACGUAGGGAGCAAGCGUUGUCCGGAAUUACUGGGUGUAAAGGGAGCGUAGGCGGGGAUGCAAGUUGGGUGUCAAAACUACCGGCUCAACCGAUAGUCGCACUCAAAACUGCCGCUCUUGAGUGAAGUAGA